ACAGUUUAGCCCGUGGCCACUGAGGGAAGAAUAUAAGUUAACCUCUGUAGUGACCAUGUGGAAGUCCUGACCUUGCUUGCAGACUUGACCUCUGGAUAUGACAAGGUGGCUUCAAUACAGAUCUACCAAUUAAUCUGGGAAACUAAAAAACAAAAAACAAAAAUAACCAAACAAACAAAAAACUUCACAGCAAGAAAGAUACAGAAUUAUUUCCUGAGAAGUCAGAAGAACCCAAUGUAUUCUGGUGGGCAAAGGAAAAUAGGGUGAGGUUCUGUAUUCACUGAUACGGCCCCCUUUUCUCGGCUCUUGAAAAGAAGUGCUGAAUCAGCGAACCGAGUGAAGGAACAAGCAAGAUGAGAUGGCUGCUGCUGCGACUCUUCAGGCCACCGUCUCUCUUCCUCCUGCAAAUGCUGCAUGGCACCUAAGCUUACCAGGAUCUAGAAGCAAACUACAAAGUAAGAAGAAAUUCGCUCUGAAGACUAUAAAGAAACACUAGGCUGAUCUUCCCAAUUUCUGAAAUAUACUCUACGAAAACUCCACUGAUUCUAUGAAUCUCUUGCAAAAACAACCAGACCAGGACAAAGUUCAACAGAUAACUGGUUAGUGUUUAGAUGUGUCUAUAUCUACCAAGAACAAGGAACCAUAAAUGGCACUAAUGUUAUGAUUCAGGUAAAUCUGUUAUAGUCUUUGACAGUCUCUGCAAAUGAUCUACCACUGCCAUCAGUAAGCUCAAUGUUUUACUAACAAAUGGGAAAAUAAAACAUAUCAUGUUUUUACAGCUAACAACUUAGUAAAACCUACUCAGAGUA
Molecule: long non-coding RNA, 809 nt
Organism: Suricata suricatta (meerkat)
Lineage: Eukaryota; Metazoa; Chordata; Mammalia; Carnivora; Herpestidae
Exons: 3
Source: RefSeq, a predicted model, not a curated record